RNAcentral lists this ribosomal RNA (487 nucleotides) under uncultured microorganism. RNAcentral's name for it is "bacterial SSU rRNA". It matches the Rfam family "Bacterial small subunit ribosomal RNA", at positions 9 to 516 of the family's 1533-position model. The record is from RNAcentral.
GAGUUUGAUCGUGGCUCAGAACGAACGCUGGCGGCGUGGAUAAGACAUGCAAGUCGAACGGGAGAAUUGCUAGCUUGCUAAUAAUUCUCUAGCGGCGCACGGGUGAGUAACACGUGAGUAACCUGCCCCCGAGAGCGGGAUAGCCCUGGGAAACUGGGAUUAAUACCGCAUAGUAUCGAAAGAUUAAAGCAGCAAUGCGCUUGGGGGAUGGGCUCGCGGCCUAUUAGUUAGUUGGUGAGGUAAACGGCUCACCAAGGCGAUGACGGGUAGCCGGUCUGAGAGGAUGUCCGGCCACACUGGAACUGAGACACGGUCCAGACACCUACGGGUGGCAGCAGUCGAGAAUCAUUCACAAUGGGGGAAACCCUGAUGGUGCGACGCCGCGUGGGGAAUGAAGGUCUUCGGAUUGUAAACCCCUGUCAUGUGGGAGCAAAUUAAAAAGAUAGUACCACAAGAGGAAGAGACGGCUAACUCUGUGCCAGCAGCA